Molecule: transfer RNA, 72 nt
Filed under: Agrilus planipennis (emerald ash borer)
Lineage: Eukaryota; Metazoa; Arthropoda; Insecta; Coleoptera; Buprestidae
Rfam family: tRNA
About the family: Transfer RNA (tRNA) molecules are approximately 80 nucleotides in length. Their secondary structure includes four short double-helical elements and three loops (D, anti-codon, and T loops).
Source: Rfam by way of RNAcentral
UCUUUCGUAGCUUAGUGGUAAGAGCUUUGGUGCUUAAAGCCAAAGGGCCCGGGUUCGAUCCCUGUGGGGGUG